Molecule: ribosomal RNA, 378 nt
Filed under: uncultured bacterium
Lineage: Bacteria
Description: bacterial SSU rRNA
Rfam family: Bacterial small subunit ribosomal RNA
Source: RNAcentral
AAACGUAGGGGGCAAGCGUUGUCCGGAAUUACUGGGCGUAAAGGGCGCGUAGGCGGUGUAAUAAGUCUCGAGGUGAAAACUAUCGGCUCAACCGGUAGCGUGCCUGAGAAACUGUUAGACUUGAGGGCAGGAGAGGGGAGUGGAAUUCCCAGUGUAGCGGUGAAAUGCGUAGAUAUUGGGAGGAACACCAGUGGCGAAGGCGGCUCUCUGGCCUGUUACUGACGCUGAGGCGCGAAAGCGUGGGGAGCGAACGGGAUUAGAUACCCCGGUAGUCCACGCCGUAAACGAUGGGUGCUAGGUGUAGGAGGUAUCGACCCCUUCUGUGCCGUAGUUAACACAAUAAGCACCCCGCCUGGGGAGUACGGCCGCAAGGUUGAA